CUUCGGGUAAGGCGGUGGUCUAAUUUGCUUGGAACAGCGAGUCAUAGAGGGUGAGAAUCCCGUCUAGGAUCGCCAGCCGCGCCCAUGUGAAGCUCCUUCGACGAGUCGAGUUGUUUGGGAAUGCAGCUCUAAAUGGGUGGUAAAUUUCAUCUAAAGCUAAAUAUUGGCCAGAGACCGAUAGCGCACAAGUAGAGUGAUCGAAAGAUGAAAAGCACUUUGAAAAGAGAGUUAAACAGUAUGUGAAAUUGUUGAAAGGGAAGCGCUUGCAACCAGACUUGCGUGUAACGGUUCCCCCGGCCUUCUGGCCGGGUUACUCCGUUAUCUCCAGGCCAGCAUCGGUUUGGGUGGUCGGUAAAAGACCCCGGGAAUGUAUCUACCUUCGGGUCGACUUAUAGCCCGGGGUGUAAUGCGGCCCAUCCAGACCGAGGAACGCGCUUCGGCUCGGAUGCUGGCGUAAUGGUUGUAAGCGGCCCGUCUUGAAACACGGACCAAGGAGUCUAACAUCUAUGCGAGUGUUUGGGUGUCAAACCCCUACGCGUAAUGAAAGUGAACGGAGGUAAGAACCCCGCAAGGGGCGCAUUAUCGACCGAUCCUGAUGUCUUC
This 603-nucleotide ribosomal RNA is filed under the name Verrucaria hydrela. Its description in RNAcentral is "eukaryotic LSU rRNA". It matches the Rfam family "Eukaryotic large subunit ribosomal RNA", at positions 162 to 781 of the family's 3401-position model. The record is from RNAcentral. Lineage: Eukaryota; Fungi; Ascomycota; Eurotiomycetes; Verrucariales; Verrucariaceae.